This 75-nucleotide transfer RNA is filed under the name Paracoccaceae bacterium. RNAcentral describes it as "tRNA-Asn". It matches the Rfam family "tRNA". From Rfam's summary of the family: Transfer RNA (tRNA) molecules are approximately 80 nucleotides in length. Their secondary structure includes four short double-helical elements and three loops (D, anti-codon, and T loops). The record is from RNAcentral. RNAcentral also lists the same sequence under 2 other names. Lineage: Bacteria; Pseudomonadati; Pseudomonadota; Alphaproteobacteria; Rhodobacterales; Paracoccaceae.
UCCGGCGUAGCUCAGUGGUAGAGCAUCGGACUGUUAAUCCGCUGGUCGCUGGUUCGAAUCCAGCCGCCGGAGCCA